Molecule: non-coding RNA, 29 nt
Filed under: Mus musculus (house mouse)
Lineage: Eukaryota; Metazoa; Chordata; Mammalia; Rodentia; Muridae
Source: RNAcentral
UGAAAAUGACUUCACUUCUCAAAUCCCUA